CAGGUUGGAAUAAUAUAUCUGAAAAUGUUAUAUCGAUCCCUCAUUGAGUUUUAGUAAGAGGCGGGUAUUUUUUCUAGCUUCUUCACAUCCUCCAGCGAUCCUCCCAAAGUAUAACCGAGAGCAUCAUGCUCCACCACCUUAUGUUCAAGGUUGUAACCUUAAAUAACAUAUAGACUUGCACCUUCCUUGUCGAUAAUGUUCCCAUAUACUCAAAAUAAAGGCCUGCUUAAGUUCUUCUAAUGGUUGCUCUUAUUCUGGUACAUGUUUCUGCUUUGUUAUAAUGCUACUUGUUAUGGGUUUUGAUCGUGCUAAUUUCUACAGGGCCUGUUCAAUCUCCUAUACUUUCUCCUUCUGCAUCUGUCUUAGGAAAGCCACAGGCACCACAGCUUCAACCUUUCCAUUCACUACCACCUCCAUCACCUGGUCGUUCAUCCUUUAUAAACUAUUCACAUCCAAAAAGUACUCUUCUCCUUGGUGAAGAAUGUUGAAAUGAUAAACAUACUGAUUUCGUGAUCUAUCUUUAUGUGUUGAUAGUGCAUUUAUGGCAACAUAUGAUGUGCAGAGCCUGCUGUUUCUCCAACACCCACAAUAUCUCCUGUCAACUAUGGGAGACAUGGCAUGCCAGUUCUUGCACCACCAAAGGAUAUAUCUAGCCAUUUAUCUCCCAAAAAUUAUUCGCACACAAAAGGUAUUUAUAUCCUCCAUGAAAAAUGUUCCAAUGAGGGUAAUAAAUACCAAUUCAAUGUCUAAUCUUUUAUACAUGCUCUUUUCCUAUUAUAAGCCCUGCUUCACAUGAGGUUGAUAGACCCUUAGGUACAGUACAUUCUCCUUUCACUUCGCCUCCCAAACCUUCAAUACAAAGAAGACUUCAUAGCCCUGCACCAGCACCCCUAUUUUCAUUUCACCAAUCGACUGCUAGAGAAAGAACAGGAAGCCUUGCAUCUGCUCCAUCUCCACAAUCUUAUAAUCUAGGGUGGAAUAAUAUACCUGAAAAUGUUAUACCGAUCCCUCAUUGAGUUUUAGUAAGAGGCGGGUGUUUUUUCCAGCUUCUUCACAUCCUCCAAUAGUACUCCCAAAGCAUAAUCGAGAGCAUUAUGCUCCAUCACUCUAUGUUCAAGGUUGUAAUCUUAUUAAAUAACAUAUAGACUUGCACCUUCCCUGUCAAUAAUGUUCCCACCUACUCAAAAUAAAAGUCUGCUUAAGUGCUGCUAAUGGUUGCUCUUAUUUUGAUGCAUAUUUCUCCUUUGUUAUAAUGCUAUUUGUUUUGGGUUUUUAAUCGUGCUCAUUCCUACAGGGUCUGUUCAAUCUCCUGUACUUUCUCCUCCUGCAUCUACCUCAGGAAAGCCACGGGCACCACAGCUUCAACCUUUCCAUUCACUACCACCUCCAUCGCCUGGUCAUUCAUCCCAUAUA
This 1413-nucleotide long non-coding RNA is filed under the name Elaeis guineensis (African oil palm). RNAcentral's name for it is "long non-coding RNA (EGUI_LNC000238)". The record is from RNAcentral. Lineage: Eukaryota; Viridiplantae; Streptophyta; Magnoliopsida; Arecales; Arecaceae.